UGGGGAAUAUUGCACAAUGGGCGCAAGCCUGAUGCAGCCAUGCCGCGUGUGUGAAGAAGGCCUUCGGGUUGUAAAGCACUUUCAGCGAGGAGGAAGGUGGUGGACUUAAUACGUUCAUCAAUUGACGUUACUCGCAGAAGAAGCACCGGCUAACUCCGUGCCAGCAGCCGCGGUAAUACGGGAGGGUGCAAGCGUUAAUCGGAAUUACUGGGCGUAAAGCGCACGCAGGCGGUUUGUUAAGUCAGAUGUGAAAUCCCCGGGCUCAACCUGGGAACUGCAUUUGAAACUGGCAAGCUAGAGUCUCGUAGAGGGGGGUAGAAUUCCAGGUGUAGCGGUGAAAUGCGUAGAGAUCUGGAGGAAUACCGGUGGCGAAGGCGGCCCCCUGGACGAAGACUGACGCUCAGGUGCGAAAGCGUGGGGAGCAAACAGGAUUAGAUACCCCUGGUAGGUCCACGCUGUAAACGAUGUCGAUUUUGGAGGUUGUG
Molecule: ribosomal RNA, 485 nt
Filed under: uncultured bacterium
Lineage: Bacteria
Description: partial 16S ribosomal RNA
Rfam family: Bacterial small subunit ribosomal RNA
Source: RNAcentral